RNAcentral lists this ribosomal RNA (337 nucleotides) under uncultured bacterium. Its description in RNAcentral is "bacterial SSU rRNA". It matches the Rfam family "Bacterial small subunit ribosomal RNA", at positions 962 to 1310 of the family's 1533-position model. The record is from RNAcentral.
CGAAGAACCUUACCUGGGGCUUGACAUGUACGUAGUAGUGAAGCGAAAGUGGAACGACCCUUCGGGGAGCGUACACAGGUGCUGCAUGGCUGUCGUCAGCUCGUGUCGUGAGAUGUUGGGUUAAGUCCCGCAACGAGCGCAACCCUCGUCGCUAGUUACAAGUGUCUAGCGAGACUGCCGGUAUCAAGCUGGAGGAAGGUGGGGAUGACGUCAAGUCAGCAUGGCCUUUAUGUCCAGGGCGACACACACGCUACAAUGGGCGGUACAACGGGAAGCGAAAGGGCGACCUGAAGCGAAUCCCAUCAAAGCCGUUCGUAGUACAGAUUGCAGGCUGCAA